RNAcentral lists this ribosomal RNA (503 nucleotides) under uncultured bacterium. Its description in RNAcentral is "bacterial SSU rRNA". It matches the Rfam family "Bacterial small subunit ribosomal RNA", at positions 15 to 507 of the family's 1533-position model. The record is from RNAcentral.
GAUCAUGGCUCAGGAUGAACGCUAGCUACAGGCUUAACACAUGCAAGUCGAGGGGCAGCGGGAUUGAAGCUUGCUUCAAUUGCCGGCGACCGGCGCACGGGUGAGUAGCGCGUAUCCAACCUUCCGUACACUCAGGGAUAGCCUUUCGAAAGAAAGAUUAAUACCUGAUGGUAUCUUAAGCACACAUGUAAUUAAGAUUAAAGAUUUAUCGGUGUACGAUGGGGAUGCGUUCCAUUAGGUAGUAGGCGGGGUAACGGCCCACCUAGCCAACGAUGGAUAGGGGUUCUGAGAGGAAGGUCCCCCACAUUGGAACUGAGACACGGUCCAAACUCCUACGGGAGGCAGCAGUGAGGAAUAUUGGUCAAUGGACGAGAGUCUGAACCAGCCAAGUAGCGUGAAGGAUGAAGGUCCUACGGAUUGUAAACUUCUUUUAUAAGGGAAUAAACCCUCCCACGUGUGGGAGCUUGUAUGUACCUUAUGAAUAAGCAUCGGCUAACUCCGUG